GUGGCAGUGCGGCAGCUACACAUGCAGUCGAGCGGUAACAGAUCCAGCUUGCUGGAUGCUGACGAGCGGCGGACGGGUGAGUAAUGCAUAGGAAUCUGCCCGAUAGUGGGGGAUAACCUGGGGAAACCCAGGCUAAUACCGCAUACGUCCUACGGGAGAAAGGGGGCUUCGGCUCCCGCUAUCGGAUGAGCCUAUGUCGGAUUAGCUAGUUGGUGAGGUAACGGCUCACCAAGGCCACGAUCCGUAGCUGGUCUGAGAGGAUGAUCAGCCACAUCGGGACUGAGACACGGCCCGAACUCCUACGGGAGGCAGCAGUGGGGAAUAUUGGACAAUGGGGGGAACCCUGAUCCAGCCAUGCCGCGUGUGUGAAGAAGGCCCUCGGGUUGUAAAGCACUUUCAGCGAGGAAGAACGCCUAGCGGUUAAUACCCGCUAGGAAAGACAUCACUCGCAGAAGAAGCACCGGCUAACUCCGUGCCAGCAGCCGCGGUAAUACGGAGGGUGCAAGCGUUAAUCGGAAUUACUGGGCGUAAAGCGCGCGUAGGUGGCUUGAUAAGCCGGUUGUGAAAGCCCCGGGCUCAACCUGGGAACGGCAUCCGGAACUGUCAAGCUAGAGUGCAGGAGAGGAAGGUAGAAUUCCCGGUGUAGCGGUGAAAUGCGUAGAGAUCGGGAGGAAUACCAGUGGCGAAGGCGGCCUUCUGGACUGACACUGACACUGAGGUGCGAAAGCGUGGGUAGCAAACAGGAUUAGAUUCCGGG
This 757-nucleotide ribosomal RNA is filed under the name Vreelandella aquamarina. RNAcentral describes it as "bacterial SSU rRNA". It matches the Rfam family "Bacterial small subunit ribosomal RNA", at positions 36 to 790 of the family's 1533-position model. Lineage: Bacteria; Pseudomonadati; Pseudomonadota; Gammaproteobacteria; Oceanospirillales; Halomonadaceae. The record is from RNAcentral.